RNAcentral lists this ribosomal RNA (464 nucleotides) under uncultured bacterium. RNAcentral describes it as "bacterial SSU rRNA". It matches the Rfam family "Bacterial small subunit ribosomal RNA", at positions 338 to 795 of the family's 1533-position model. The record is from RNAcentral.
CCUACGGGAGGCAGCAGUGGGGAAUCUUGCGCAAUGGGCGAAAGCCUGACGCAGCGACGCCGCGUGGGUGAUGAAGGCCUUCGGGUUGUAAAGCCCUGUGGGGAGAGAAGAAUAAGUUGGGGCGAAUAGGCCUGACGAUGACGGUAUCUCCUUAGCAAGCACCGGCUAACUCUGUGCCAGCAGCCGCGGUAAGACAGAGGGUGCAAACGUUGUUCGGAAUUACUGGGCGUAAAGCGCGUGUAGGCGGCGAGGCAAGUCGGAUGUGAAAGCCCUGGGCUCAACCCAGGAAGUGCAUUCGAUACUGCUUUGCUAGAGUCUCGGAGAGGGUGGUGGAAUUCUCGGUGUAGAGGUGAAAUUCGUAGAUAUCGAGAGGAACACCUGUGGCGAAGGCGGCCACCUGGACGGUGACUGACGCUGAGACGCGAAAGCGUGGGGAGCAAACAGGAUUAGAUACCCUUGUAGUC